CUCUUGCACCCCAACCCCCUGUCCCAGCCCAGUGUGAGUGAGUGAGGGUGGGGAAGAAUGAGUGACUGAGAAAGGGGGAUGGAGCAAAUGGGAGCGGGGCCUCAGAGGAGGGGCGGGGCAUGGGCAGGGCCUCAGAGAAGGCACAGGGCAGGGGCAUUCCCUUUUGUGUGAUUAGCAAGUUGGCAGCCCUAACAGUGACCCCAUAUUACAAGCGAAAGACAGUUUAAGAACAUAAAGAAAAGGAGGGUGGUUGCCGCUCCCUGGCUUAAGAAGCCCUGGGACAGUGAAUGAAACCCCCUCCUCUAGCCAUUUUCUUUCUGGAGGAGAGGAAAAAUGGAUGAGUGCUGCCCUGGAGAUGGGCCAGCAGGGGGUGGGCUAUUUCCACCAUAGUACUUGCAGCAAUACAGUCCCCCAGCACCUGACUCAGGGUCCCCAGUGAUAAUUGUCCAGGUUAAGAGCGCAGACGCCUUAUCUGGACACGCAGAAGAGAGUAAUAAUAAAUACUGUAGUUCAUGUGCAAAAGCUCCACGGUGUUUUCACAUGUCACCUGUUAAACUAAAUGCUGCGGAAAACGUGGAUGAUUAGAACUCUGCUCCUAAAACAACAGAAGGGCAAUUUUAAAGCACAUACCUCACUUUUGCUUAAAAAUACUAUAUAACUCCCUUAGGGUUAUUCAGAAGCCAAAUCUGAAAGACAGCCACAAAAGGCAGUGACUCUCUGCAACAAGCCCUGUACCCUAAAAUACCGACCGGCGUAUUACGAGCUGCCUUUUAAAAGCACUUUACGUACGAAGGUAUUUUUGGACCCUGUCCAAACGGGUGAAAGACAACGCAUCGCCUCUGACCAUGUAGUGACCACUCUGCAGCCCCGCGUGGUUUAAUGUUUCAUGUUCUGCACACGGACAAACCCCCCACCCCUCUGGCAGACAGUGACGGGCUAACCCAGUCACUAGGGCAGCUUCACCCACUGCAACCCAAAAUUGUCUUGGCCAAGAUCAUGCAACAAACAUCCCUCCCCGCCCCUGCCUUGCUCUGGAAACCAACCACCGGCUGCCCAGGGAGCGGAAAACAAAAAGCACCACGAGCGCAACUCACAAGCGAGCGGGACCGGGCCAGCGGGGAUGGUCGGGGACGGUGUUAAAGGCGCCGCUCGUGUGUUGCUCUUCGGGGAGAGGGGAGGAGGUGGGGCUGCAGGGAGGGGUGGCUGCGAAUGAAAGCAGGGAGCGGGGCAAGAGAACAAGAGCCGGGCUCCUGGGUGCAGGACCCUGGGGAGGGCAGACGAGGCGCUUCCACUUGCAGCGCCCCUACCCCCAGAGCCGCCGCUGCCUUAGCUUCACACUGGCAACAAGCGCGCCGAGAAAUUUAACCCUCUCGGCGCUGCAGCCCCGGCCUGCGCUCCCCGCUCUGCCCCCUCUGCGCUCCGUGGGGGGCGGCCGAUUGGCCUUUGGCUGCAACUCGCACCCGCAGGCUGGACGGGGCCCAGCCCGGCCCCAGCACAAAGCGGGGUUUGUUGCUCUGAACGGCUUAUGCCGGCUCCUGCUAAUUUCUUUCAAGUGGCGCUGGACAGCCAGCCCUUGCCGAGCCAAGUUGGAAAGCAGGGAAGCGCUUGGAACUAAAAUUACUGCAAAACAUGGACACCAGCAAACACCUCUUCAGGUUGCUGAGUUCACUGAAGUUUGGCCCAUUGUGGGAUCAUAAUGAAGAUGAAAAAAAAUGGUAAAACUGGUGAAUUCAGACCACUGAGCUACUGAGAAAUUCAAACUGUUCCCACCUUGCGAAAGAACCAUUGGAAACUACAGCAAAGCCUUAAGCACCUUCUUCAAAUGGACAUCUGAAAGUUCUGCUCUGCAAGCCAUUUUGGAUAAGAUUCUAAGAUAGCAGGAAGCUGGAUGGGGAAGAAGGAGAAAUGUUAGCAGCAGAAGAAUGCUGACAAGAAGGAACUACUUGGGAAAUAAGAUGCAAAAUGGCCUUUCCAGAAGAGAGAGACUUGGAAAACUGGCUUUAAUAUUUUGUGAGCUCCCAAAUGAAUGUACUCUUAUGAAUUCCCUAAAGUCAGCUCACUUCCAUUGCCCACUGGGUCAAGUCUUUCGGAUGAACAUGAAUGAAUACUAACAACACGUGCACCAAAUUCAUACCUUGAUAUGUCAUUGGUGUCUUCAAAAGGCUUGUGAGUGUCACGAGGAACUUUAGAGGCAUCCAGGAGAUCCUCCUCCUGAUUUAUAUAUGCUGGUAUGCAUCUCUAAGAUAAUGCAACCCUAAGAUAAUCUUAAAUGCUUUUGUCACACGUGCUCAGAACGCCAAGUCCAGUUCGUCAGGUUCAUGUUAUUUGGCUGCAGUUACAGUGGGUACAUAGACAUUGCAACUUUUUAAGAAUAGUUCCCAUUCACUCAGGGUAAGGACAGUCAGUCAUUUGUGACUUGAUAGCGGUGAGGACCAAUUUGAAUGGCAGGAAUACCUGAGUUUUAAAAAUAUAUAUAUAUUGAGUCCGUCAGUGUGCUUGGCACUGUGAAAACGUGGAAGAACUCAUGGUCCCGCUCUCUAGCAGCUUACAGUCGAAGGCCCCAGGGCUGCCCAGAACUCUAUGUAAGUGGAUCUCUACACCUGUACUGGAAACAUUGCAGAAUAGGCACCUUGCACCAUAUUUACAUAGUUAUUUAGGUGCUGAAAAAUGCCAAUAGGUGCCUUUUGGAUUUUACAAAAGUAUGUGAGUAGGUUAUGUGCCUAAAUAUCUUUGAGGAGAUGGGCCCUGUUCCUGUGCUCAAUGGGCGUUAGGUGCCUACCCUCUUAUGGGGCUUCUGUAAAUCUCAGCCAGGCACUUUUGUGAAUCCCACCUCCCUCUUUAUGUGCCUACAUACCUUUGUAAAUCUGGGCCCUAGUUCUGACACACAGUUCUGUUCAGAUACAAACUCUCUGGAUGAUGUUUCCAAUGUGCAGCACAGCAGAUCUUGGGGAGCGAGCAGUGCUGAAAGCAAGGCUUUGUGGAAGAAGCAUGUGUUUGAGGAGGAAAUUGAAAGACAAAUUGGUAUGGGAGACAUUUGUAAAUGUAAGGGACAUGAGAAAGGAAGAAGAUGAAAAUGCAAAGAUAAAAGGGAGUGAUUGAGGGCUAUUACAGAAGAAAAGUUAUGGUAGCCGACGUGGGAUUGUCUAUUUAUUUUUGAAAUGUAGGUGACUAUUUCCCCUCCUUCUAAUCAUUAUUGUAAUCUCUUUCUAAGAGUGAAAAGUACCCAGGAUAAUAUUUCAAUAUGUUCUGCAGUUUUCCAUUAGUUCCCUGUACCGGGAUGGUCACCCGCUCCUGCCCUGAAAGGGCUUGAAGCCAGCCCUGGGAGAGGGCUGGGGCUGCGAGCUAAAGGCUUGCUGAUUGGGGAAGCAGCCGCAGCUGGGCCAUGCCCCAAUCAGACUGCAGCUGGCCCUAUAAAAGCCAGUGAAGCCAGGAGCUGAGAGGAGUCUUUCUCUGGCUGCUUGGGAGCAGAGCAAAGUACCUAGAGUGGAGCAGGGCUGGGGGAAAGGCUAGAGGAGCCGGGGGAGCUCCAGCCUGGAAAACCCCCAGGCUGCAGGCCUUUGAUGAAAGGACAGGAAGGGUACUGGGGUUGCAGAGGUGCAGCCCAGGGUAAGCCAAGACAGUAGGUGCAAACCCCCCUUGCUGGUGAUGAGUAGCACUUACACUGCAGUCUGCCCCAGGGAACGGGGGCUAGGUGAUGACUGGCAGUGGCCAUAGACUGAGAUGAGGUGGGGAUAGAGGGUAGGGGUUCUCUGGGGAGGGGAGACCUAGAUCUGUGGGGGUACUGCCAGGCAGCAGCACCCUGGCCUGAAAAGGGCACCGGGGUCCAGGAGAGACUCGGGCCCAGUGGCAAGCGGGAUACCGGCCUGCAGAGGGCGCUCUGGAGGCUGGAAACGCUAAUUCCCAGGGUGAGUCGCUGCAGGGUGACAUCUCCAAUGAGUGUAGCUACAUGGGUGGGCUUCAGUGCACUCAAAGCUUAGGUCUGUAGAACAGUACAGAUGAGUAUCAUUUUAUUUUGGAAUAUUAUAUUGAAAUGAAAUGAAUUAGUCUAAUGAUCAUAAUAAAAAUUAGGACAAGAUUGUCUCUCCUAUUCCAGCUGCUUUAUGUUGGAUUAAAGGGCUGGAACAGUGUAAUGGGACCGUUCCUCCAGGUUAGACAACUUGGCUGUAGUUUUAUGUCAGGUCAGUGCUUGGUGGAACCUUAAUAAUUCUCAGUGUUUUGACACAGAGCUGAAACAGCAGCUCUGAUUCUUGAGACUGCCAACUGCACAAAAUGGAACUGAAACAAUUCAGUGAAUUAUUUGAACAUAACUGAAAAGUCCUCAAUUUUCUCUGACAUCUUCAGAAUAAGCUAUGAAGCAAGGUUGCGUACCUGAGUACGAAAGCCCAAUGAAAUUCAAAGGCAAUAACUAGAAGUCUGAUGUACUCUUUUACAUAAUGCAAAAUAAAUCAUGGAACUCACAGUUGUGGGAAAUUGUGCCGGGCGGGGGACGGGGGACACAGUUAAUUAUUUAAUGACCGUAGACAGAUUAAAAAAGUUAAAGCUUUUUAAAUCAUUCACACAAAUUGUCAACAGCACAUGUCAAAAUAUACAAAGUAAAUAGCCUUAAAUCAACAAAUGGUAUCUGUUUUUACUUGUUAUUCACUAGUUCAUUUGUAACAAGCUGAAUACGAAAGUCUACUCUAAAUCACUGGAUUUUUACUCUACUAAGUUUUCAAGAAGCAUUUUUCUUACUUUGUCUAUCUGUGUAUUUAGAUUGUUGUCAAUGGAAAUAUUUGUUCAUUAAUUUGUGUGUACAGUGAAAUCGAUGUUUACUGACAUUUACCAAUAAAA
Long non-coding RNA from Malaclemys terrapin pileata, 4830 nucleotides. RefSeq lists it as uncharacterized. Lineage: Eukaryota; Metazoa; Chordata; Testudines; Emydidae. The transcript has 3 exons. The record is from RefSeq and is a predicted model, not a curated record.